This 90-nucleotide transfer RNA is filed under the name Emberiza aureola (yellow-breasted bunting). RNAcentral describes it as "tRNA-Val". The stretch from base 1 to 70 matches the Rfam family "tRNA". Rfam says of the family: Transfer RNA (tRNA) molecules are approximately 80 nucleotides in length. Their secondary structure includes four short double-helical elements and three loops (D, anti-codon, and T loops). The record is from RNAcentral. Lineage: Eukaryota; Metazoa; Chordata; Aves; Passeriformes; Fringillidae.
CAAGACGUAGCUUAAACAAAAGCAUUCAGCUUACACCUGAAAAAUGUCUGUUAAUACCAGAUCGUCUUGAUGCCAAACUCUAGCCCAAUC